RNAcentral lists this ribosomal RNA (253 nucleotides) under uncultured bacterium. RNAcentral describes it as "partial 16S ribosomal RNA". It matches the Rfam family "Bacterial small subunit ribosomal RNA", at positions 524 to 776 of the family's 1533-position model. The record is from RNAcentral.
UACGAAGGGGGCUAGCGUUGCUCGGAAUCACUGGGCGUAAAGGGUGCGUAGGCGGGUUUUUAAGUCAGAGGUGAAAUCCCGGAGCUCAACUCCAGAACUGCCUUUGAUACUGAAAGUCUUGAGUACGGGAGAGGUGAGUGGAACUGCGAGUGUAGAGGUGAAAUUCGUAGAUAUUCGCAAGAACACCAGUGGCGAAGGCGGCUCACUGGCCCGUAACUGACGCUGAGGCACGAAAGCCAGGGGAGCGAACGGG